This 354-nucleotide unclassified non-coding RNA is filed under the name fungal sp. Its description in RNAcentral is "partial internal transcribed spacer region". The stretch from base 1 to 46 matches the Rfam family "Eukaryotic small subunit ribosomal RNA", at positions 1786 to 1831 of the family's 1831-position model. The record is from RNAcentral. Lineage: Eukaryota; Fungi.
AAGUCGUAACAAGGUUUCCGUAGGUGAACCUGCGGAAGGAUCAUUAACAAAAAUUUAUAUUGAAUGUUAAUUAUUCACCCAAUUUUAAUGUGAAGUUUUGGUUAAAAGUGUGAUAACUCUGGUAUGGUUUUUUCAGACGGUUGUCUUUUUGAGAUGAGGUUUGAAAAUGAAUUGCCUGCCAGUAGUUUUUAUCUAAUAAACCACUGUUAUAUUUUGUGUGUGUAUUUGUUAUACUGAUGAAAGUUUUAUGAAGAACUCUGAUCAAUUUCACCUGAAAUGGGUCAAAAGUUUAACAGAAACUGAAUUCAAAAUUUUAACUCAAUACAACUUGCAACAAUGGAUCUCUUGGCUCUU